GAGAGACCUAGCUACGCCUCAUGAUCUGUUAGAAGCUAGCCAGUGACUUGUCCCUCCUCUGAUCUCUCCUUACCUUACGGUCCUUGUUGCUCUCAGGGACUCCAUGAUGGAUUGGAUGUCACAGAGGGAGAGCACAAGUGGCUCAGAGAGGAGCCGGGUGUGCCUGCGGAGCCAAAUCUCCCCCCUGCACCUCCUACUCUCGUCACCGCUGUCCUGACCGGUUUCCUGCAGGCUCUGGUGGGCUUUGUGCAGAUGAGCUGGAGACUGUAGGGUGAGUCUCUCACUUUCUGCCCUGGG
This 297-nucleotide long non-coding RNA is filed under the name Dasypus novemcinctus (nine-banded armadillo). Its description in RNAcentral is "lncRNA (ENSDNOG00000050582.1)". Lineage: Eukaryota; Metazoa; Chordata; Mammalia; Cingulata; Dasypodidae. The record is from RNAcentral.